Molecule: long non-coding RNA, 1366 nt
Filed under: Homo sapiens (human)
Lineage: Eukaryota; Metazoa; Chordata; Mammalia; Primates; Hominidae
Description: HSALNT0331789
Source: RNAcentral
GACUACUGACUUGGACCAGCAGGGGAAUGGCUGUGACAAUAAAUAAGAUUGGGAAAACAAGAAGUCGUUGUCAUGGCGACAUGUUGUUUAGCAUGAGAACAGGAUGAUGAUAAAGCCAGAGGCUCUUCAGAGGCGCCAUCUUGGAUUUCGCCAGCUUCAGCUGGUUUCGUCCUAAGAAGGAACUUCGAAACACAGGCAUUCUUUUUCCUGAAAAUAAGCAGAGUUACAGCUGAGUAGGAAUUUAGCUCUGUCCCAUAUGCUAUCGCAUUGGGCAGCAAAAGCAGGGUGGGGUCCAGCGAAAUCAGCAGGCACUGCAAUGAGUAACAUACCCAGCCACGUUUAUGCAGCAUUUUUACGAAAAUGAAACCAUACUACCUGUAAAGGAAGAUAUGCUAACAAACAACAAAACUGGCAGGAACCAAGAUUCCUACUGACACUACCCUUAGUUUUAAUUUUCCCUGACAACAAAUGAGGUUAACAGAGCAUAAUUAUCUACCGUGACCCCUUCAAAAAGACAGGCUGUAUACAUUUGCACUAAGAGAAGAAAUCGUGUAAUGUCAGCAAAUUUCCCCCACUUAAAGCUUCUCUAUUUAAAAAGCUUCACGCACACAUGCACGCAUAUGUCUUCAAGAUGACCACAAUUUAUUUUGCAGUCAUUCUUUGCACCAGUUCCCAAUUUUUCCCACUAGCUUGCAAGCUCCGUGACUCGAGGAGACCGGGGGAUCAGAGUUUGUUUUUGCGGAGAAGUGAGUCCUUUAUGCCCCAAAUAGUGACUGACAUAGAGAAGGUACUCAGUAAACACUUUUUAAAGGAAUGCCUGCCUGACUGAAGCUUAAUGAUGUGAGGCUUCUAGUGGGAUACCCUACCUUGUUUUAACCUGAAGUGACUCUUCCUUAGCUAAGAGAGCCAGACGGACUCCAUCGUGACUCCUUCACUCGCAGCCCCUUACCCACCCCCUUCCUCAAGGACUUAACUUGUGCAAGCUGACUCCCAGCACAUCAAGAAUGCAAUUAACUGAUAAGAUACUGUGGCAAGCUAUAUCCGCAGUUCCCAGGAAUUCGCCCGGUUAAUAGCACCCAGAGCCCCUGCGUUUGUGUCCGGUUGAUAACGCCCAAAGCCCGGCGUCCAUCACCUUAGGAUAGACUUAAAGCCUCUGCACCUGGAACUGUUUACUUUCCUGUAACCGUUUAUCCUUUUAACUUUUUGCCUACUUUACUUCUGUAAGAUUGUUUCAACUAGACUCCCCCUCUCCCCUGUCUAAACCAAAGUAUAAAAGAAAAUCUAGCUCCUUCUUCGGGGCCAAGAGAAUUUCGAGCGCUAGCUGUCUCUCGGCUGCCGGCUAAUAAAGGACUCCUGAAUUCGUCUC